CUCCUACGGGAGGCAGCAGUGGGGAAUAUUGCACAAUGGGGGAAACCCUGAUGCAGCGACGCCGCGUGGAGGAAGAAGGUCUUCGGAUUGUAAACUCCUGUUGUUGAGGAAGAUAAUGACGGUACUCAACAAGGAAGUGACGGCUAACUACGUGCCAGCAGCCGCGGUAAAACGUAGGUCACAAGCGUUGUCCGGAAUUACUGGGUGUAAAGGGAGCGCAGGCGGGAAGACAAGUUGGAAGUGAAAUCUAUGGGCUCAACCCAUAAACUGCUUUCAAAACUGUUUUUCUUGAGUAGUGCAGAGGUAGGCGGAAUUCCCGGUGUAGCGGUGGAAUGCGUAGAUAUCGGGAGGAACACCAGUGGCGAAGGCGGCCUACUGGGCACCAACUGACGCUGAGGCUCGAAAGUGUGGGUAGCAAACAGGAUUAGAUACCCUGGUAGUCCACACCGUAAACGAUGAUUACUAGGUGUUGGAGGAUUGACCCCUUCAGUGCCGCAGUUAACACAAUAAGUAAUCCACCUGGGGAGUACGACCGCAAGGUUGAAACUCAAAGGAAUUGACGGGGGCCCGCACAAGCAGUGGAGUAUGUGGUUUAAUUCGACGCAACGCGAAGAACCUUACCAAGUCUUGACAUCCUGCGACGAUGCUGGAAACAGUAUUUUCCUUCGGGACGCAGAGACAGGUGGUGCAUGGUUGUCGUCAGCUCGUGUCGUGAGAUGUUGGGUUAAGUCCCGCAACGAGCGCAACCCUUACUGUCAGUUACUACGCAAGAGGACUCUGGCAGGACUGCCGUUGACAAAACGGAGGAAGGUGGGGAUGACGUCAAAUCAUCAUGCCCUUUAUGACUUGGGCUACACACGUACUACAAUGGCGUUAAACAAAGAGAAGCAAGACCGCGAGGUGGAGCAAAACUCAGAAACAACGUCCCAGUUCGGACUGCAGGCUGCAACUCGCCUGCACGAAGUCGGAAUUGCUAGUAAUCGUGGAUCAGCAUGCCACGGUGAAUACGUUCCCGGGCCUUGUACACACCGC
RNAcentral lists this ribosomal RNA (1032 nucleotides) under uncultured bacterium. RNAcentral describes it as "bacterial SSU rRNA". It matches the Rfam family "Bacterial small subunit ribosomal RNA", at positions 336 to 1393 of the family's 1533-position model. The record is from RNAcentral.